Molecule: ribosomal RNA, 253 nt
Filed under: uncultured bacterium
Lineage: Bacteria
Description: partial 16S ribosomal RNA
Rfam family: Bacterial small subunit ribosomal RNA
Source: RNAcentral
GACAGAGGGGGCGAGCGUCGUCCGGUGUCACUGGACGUAAAACGCGCACCGGCGGCAACCUAAGUGUCGUGUGAAAGCACCCGGCUCAACCGGGGGAGGCCAUGGCAAACUGGGUCGCUCGAGCUGCGGAGAGGCCCCUCGAAUUGCCGGUGUAGCGGUGAAAUGCGUAGAGUUCGGCAGGAAGACCAAGGGGGAAGCCAGGGGGCUGGCCGCAGGCUGACGCUGAGGCGCGACAGCGUGGGGAGCAAACCGG